Molecule: ribosomal RNA, 484 nt
Filed under: uncultured bacterium
Lineage: Bacteria
Description: partial 16S ribosomal RNA
Rfam family: Bacterial small subunit ribosomal RNA
Source: RNAcentral
AUUGAACGCUGGCGGCAGGCCUAACACAUGCAAGUCGAGCGGAUGAAGGGAGCUUGCUCCUGGAUUCAGCGGCGGACGGGGGAGUAAUGCCUAGGAAUCUGCCGGGUAGUGGUGUAGAACGUCCUGAAACGGGCGCUAAUACCGCAUACGUCCUGAGGGAGCAAGUGGGGGAUCUUCGGACCUCACGCUAUCAGAGGAGCCUAGGUCGGAUUAGCUAGUUGGUGGGGUAAAGGCCUACCAAGGCGACGAUCCGUAACUGGUCUGAGAGGAUGAUCAGUCACACUGGAACUGAGACACGGUCCAGACUCCUAAGGGACGCAGCAGUGGGGAAUAUUGGACAAUGGGCGAAAGCCUGAUCCAGCCAUGCCGCGUGUGUGAAGAAGGUCUUCGGAUUGUAAAGCACUUUAAGUUGGGAGGAAGGGCAGUAAGUUAAUACCUUGCUGUUUUGACGUUAACAACAGAAUAAGCACCGGCUAACUUCGUG